Molecule: ribosomal RNA, 292 nt
Filed under: uncultured bacterium
Lineage: Bacteria
Description: partial 16S ribosomal RNA
Rfam family: Bacterial small subunit ribosomal RNA
Source: RNAcentral
GUUUCAGCAGCCGCGGUAAUACGGAGGGUGCAAGCGUUAUCCGGAUUCACUGGGUUUAAAGGGUGCGUAGGCGGAUUUGUAAGUCCGUGGUGAAAUCUCCGAGCUUAACUCGGAAACUGCCAUGGAUACUAUAAGUCUUGAAUGUUGUGGAGGUUUGCGGAAUAUGUCAUGUAGCGGUGAAAUGCUUAGAUAUGACAUAGAACACCGAUUGCGAAGGCAGCAGGCUACACAAAUAUUGACGCUGAGGCACGAAAGCGUGGGGAUCAAACAGGAUUAGAUACCCUAGUAGUCC